RNAcentral lists this unclassified non-coding RNA (98 nucleotides) under Epilithonimonas mollis. Its description in RNAcentral is "Chryseobacterium molle Flavo-1 RNA". Lineage: Bacteria; Pseudomonadati; Bacteroidota; Flavobacteriia; Flavobacteriales; Weeksellaceae. The record is from RNAcentral.
UCGCAGCCCCGCUUGAGUGGAGCUCUUUUUGCAAAUUUUGGUGUUGGAAAAAGCGUUGGUAAAUUUUCAAAAAAGCGGGAACGGAAGACGGAUUAAGC